AUGGUUUGUCAUUUCCUUCUACAGCUCAUUUUACAGAUGAAGAAGCUAAGUCCAAGGUCCCAGAGAGUGACUUCCUCAAGGCAACACAGAAAAGGCAACAUUCAAUUUUGGGAGAGAAGGAAGGAGAUAAUUUAUGAAGAGACAAAAGGUAUCCCCUCAUUUUCAAGUAAAAAGCAAAUUCAAAAGUAUUAUAUAUUUUAUAAUUUUGCCAGUAAUUGAAGUCAAGCUUAAUAUAUUAUAGUUUGCAGACUCUAUUUUGUUCUUUUUUUUGAAAUUUUAUUUCUUAUUCUCCAAUUCUUUAUAAUCAUACCUGUUCUCCAUGAUCUUUCAAAUAUUAUAUUAUAAAUUUUAUUAUAUUAUAAUAUUAUAGAUUCUUUUUUCAAAGAAUGUACUCCAGGAAGUGUUAGAGAAAUCUCUCUACGUGGUCACUGCUCAGCUCGCAACUUCAGGAGCUCUAUAAUUUUCAUUUUAGGAAAUUACAAGGCUGGGAUGAUCCUUUCUGACCUGUGCAGAUAAAAGGAAACAAAAGUCAGAAGAAGAUAUUCAGGAACUGGAAAUCUAAGAACUUACUCCUCAAACUUGUCAUAUGUUUCUCCUAUUAGUAAUCAUUUUUCUGCUUCUUGGCAGAUGAUAGAAAGUGAGAUGUCCAUCCUCUUGUUCUGCAUUUUCCCUAGCCCCACACCCUUUGCUCCACUAUUCUUUGGACUAUAAAUUUACUAAUAAAUGUUAAUUGAUUGGUAGUGUAUGAGGAUGU
Molecule: long non-coding RNA, 754 nt
Filed under: Monodelphis domestica (gray short-tailed opossum)
Lineage: Eukaryota; Metazoa; Chordata; Mammalia; Didelphimorphia; Didelphidae
Description: lncRNA (ENSMODG00000047502.1)
Source: RNAcentral